UACGGAGGGGGCGAGCGUUGUUCGGAGUUACUGGGCGUAAAGCGCACGUAGGCGGUGCGGUAAGUCAGGGGUGAAAUCCCACGGCUCAACCGUGGAAUUGCCUUUGAAACUGCUGGGCUUGGAUCCUGGAGAGGGUGGCGGAAUUCCUGGUGUAGGAGUGAAAUCCGUAGAUAUCAGGAGGAACACCGGUGGCGAAGGCGGCCACCUGGGCCUGUACUGACGCUCAUGCACGAAAGCGAGGGGAGCAAACAGG
RNAcentral lists this ribosomal RNA (253 nucleotides) under uncultured microorganism. RNAcentral's name for it is "partial 16S ribosomal RNA". It matches the Rfam family "Bacterial small subunit ribosomal RNA", at positions 524 to 776 of the family's 1533-position model. The record is from RNAcentral.